Molecule: ribosomal RNA, 381 nt
Filed under: uncultured bacterium
Lineage: Bacteria
Description: bacterial SSU rRNA
Rfam family: Bacterial small subunit ribosomal RNA
Source: RNAcentral
UACGAAGGGAGCUAGCGUUGCUCGGAAUGACUGGGCGUAAAGGGCGCGUAGGCGGCUUAUACAGUCAGGCGUGAAAUUCCUGGGCUCAACCUGGGGACUGCGUCUGAUACGUAUGGGCUUGAGUGUGAAAGAGGGUCGUGGAAUUUCCAGUGUAGAGGUGAAAUUCGUAGAUAUUGGAAAGAACACCGGUGGCGAAGGCGGCGACCUGGUUCAUUACUGACGCUGAGGCGCGAAAGCGUGGGGAGCAAACAGGGAUUAGAUACCCUGGUAGUCCACGCUGUAAACGAUGUGUGCUGGAUGUUGGGGUGCUUAGCACUUCAGUGUCGUAGCUAACGCGGUAAGCACACCGCCUGGGGAGUACGGCCGCAAGGUUGAAACUCA